AGAGUUUGAUCCUGGCUCAGGAUUAACGCUAGCGGCAGGCCUAAUACAUGCAAGUCGAACGGGAUCAGUUGUAGCAAUAUGGCUGUGAGAGUGGCGCACGGGUGAGUAACACGUAUGCAACCUACCUCUAACUGGGGAAUAGCCUUCCGAAAGGAAGAUUAAUACCGCAUAAUAGUGCGAAGGGGCAUCCCUUUGUAAUCAAACUUUUAAGGGUUAGAGAUGGGCAUGCGUCCGAUUAGUUUGUUGGUGAGGUAACGGCUCACCAAGACUACAAUCGGUAGGGGGUCUGAGAGGAUGAUCCCCCACACUGGUACUGAGACACGGACCAGACUCCUACGGGAGGCAGCAGUAAGGAAUAUUGGACAAUGGGCGCAAGCCUGAUCCAGCCAUGCCGCGUGCAGGAUGACUGCCCUAUGGGUUGUAAACUGCUUUUAUACGGAAAGAAACCCCCCGAUGCGUCGGGGGUUGACGGUACCAUACGAAUAAGGAUCGGCUAACUCCGUGCCAGCAGCCGCGGUAAUACGGAGGACCCAAGCGUUAUCCGGAUUUAUUGGGUUUAAAGGGUGCGUAGGCGGAUUCAUAAGUCCGUGGUGAAAUCCUGCAGCUUAACUGCAGAACUGCCAUUGAAACUGAUGAUCUUGAGUAUGGUUGAGGUAGAUGGAAUGUAUCAUGUAGCGGUGAAAUGCUUAGAUAUGAUACAGAACACCAAUUGCGAAGGCAGUCUACUAAGCCAUUACUGACGCUAAGGCACGAAAGCGUGGGGAGCGAACAGGAUUAGAUACCCUGGUAGUCCACGCCGUAAACGAUGAUUACUCGAUGUUGGCGAUAUACUGUCAGCGUCCAAGCGAAAGCGUUAAGUAAUCCACCUGGGGAGUACGUCGGCAACGAUGAAACUCAAAGGAAUUGACGGGGGCCCGCACAAGCGGAGGAGCAUGUGGUUUAAUUCGAUGAUACGCGAGGAACCUUACCUGGGCUUAAAUGUUAGUGACCGCUACCGAAAGGUAGCCAUCAGCAAUGACACGAAGCAAGGUGCUGCAUGGCUGUCGUCAGCUCGUGCCGUGAGGUGUUGGGUUAAGUCCCGCAACGAGCGCAACCCUUAUCAUUAGUUGCCAUCAGGUUAAGCUGGGCACUCUAAUGAGACUGCCCGCGCAAGCGGUGAGGAAGGUGGGGACGACGUCAAGUCAUCAUGGCCCUUAUGUCCGGGGCUACACACGUGAUACAAUGGCAGAUACAAUGGGUCGCUACAUGGCAACAUGAUGCUAAUCUCAAAAGUCUGUCUCAGUUCGGAUUGAGGUCUGCAACUCGACCUCAUGAAGUCGGAUUCGCUAGUAAUCGGAAAUCAGCAAUGUUCCGGUGAAUACGUUCCCGGGCCUUGUACACACCGCCCGUCAAGCCAUGGAAGUUGGGGGUACCUGAAGUCGAUAACCGCAAGGAGUCGCCUAGGGUAAAACCGAUAACUGGGGCUAAGUCGUAACAAGGUAACC
This 1484-nucleotide ribosomal RNA is filed under the name uncultured prokaryote. Its description in RNAcentral is "partial 16S ribosomal RNA". It matches the Rfam family "Bacterial small subunit ribosomal RNA". The record is from RNAcentral.